Molecule: transfer RNA, 72 nt
Filed under: Ipomoea nil (Japanese morning glory)
Lineage: Eukaryota; Viridiplantae; Streptophyta; Magnoliopsida; Solanales; Convolvulaceae
Rfam family: tRNA
About the family: Transfer RNA (tRNA) molecules are approximately 80 nucleotides in length. Their secondary structure includes four short double-helical elements and three loops (D, anti-codon, and T loops).
Source: Rfam by way of RNAcentral
GGGUGUUUGGUCUAGUGGUAUGAUUCUUGCUUUGGGUGUAAGAGGUUGUGAGUUGAAUUCUCACAACACCCC